Molecule: long non-coding RNA, 2929 nt
Filed under: Struthio camelus australis
Lineage: Eukaryota; Metazoa; Chordata; Aves; Struthioniformes; Struthionidae
Description: lncRNA (ENSSCUG00000015676.1)
Source: RNAcentral
GCCUAUGCAACCUUAAUUUAGCCCCCUUGUGUGCCUAUAUCAUGAAAAAGUCUUUAAUUACAUGGUCACAUGCCUUUUCCUACUACCCCUUUCUUUCACCUAGUACAUAGAAUAAACAGCACUCACUUAAUAAGCAGCUAGUCACUAUUUUAUUUCUUCCGUUGCUUAGCAUGUGGCCCCAUCCUUUGUUUAGCACAUGCUUCUCAAGUUCUGCUAUGAAAAUGUAAUAAUUAAGUCCCUUGUUGGGUGCUUCUGUCAUACCUAUCAUUAGAGCAUUUGACUGUUUCACGGACAUUAAUGAAUUUAUUUCCCUGACUCCACUGCAUACUCAUUAUUUGGUGAGUGUGUACAUGAUGCAACAAAGUUGCACAUAGUAAUACUAAAAAAGAUAAAAACAAGAUGCAAUUUUUGCAAGGCAAAAUUGCCCAUGGAAGGGACACAUCCGAACUGCUGAGUAAUUUCAGAUUAGCAGAGUGUAGUCUAGAAGUCCUCCUUCAACUAGCCUGCAUGAAAUAGGCUACCACUUAAUAGAUAUGUUAUCCUGACCAGUGACAGAUCUAACUCUUUUUAAUUACCAAGGAUCUCAACACAAAAUUUUGUAGAUGUCUGUGUGUGUGUGUGUGUGUGUGUGUGUGUGUGUGUGUGAGAGAGAGAGAGAGAGAGUGCGCGCACACAAGCACAGGUGGGAGAUUUACAAGAAAAAUAUUGCAGAAGAAAUCGUACCCAAAAAAGCAUUAGAGCCACCACUGAAGCAUGCAGUUAUACCAUAAAUUCUCCCUACUAGCUUCAUGACCAAAAUCAUGGGGCAGUCAGGAGCUUGUAACUUUCUUCCACGUGCCUCUUUUUCAUAUGUAGUGUGAGUUGUCACAUGCUUGUCUCUGCAUGCUUGGGGAGAGCCAUAAAAAGGAAACUUGUAACAAGUCAAUAUUAAGAGAAUAAGGAGCUCUGUUAUUAAUAAAAACAUCAACUGCACGAGUAACUGUUGCAUUACAGCAUUCCNNNNNNNNNNNNNNUCCUGCCCUCUGCAAACUUACCUCCAGGGACAGCACCUCCAAACUCUCCUUUUCCCAGUCCCAGAAGAAAGAUUUGAGCAAAGUUUAUGAAGUUCUUGGGGAUGGGUCCCACUCUCCUCAAGAGACUGAAAAGGAACGCUUCAGUUCUAGAGAAGAAACAUUUCCAGGAAGGAAUCACAGUGGAUGGCUGGAGGAAACUAUAUGGAAUUGGCUUCAUGACGUAAGGAUUUUGAAGGGGGAAGAGAACUGGAUUCCUCUUCCUUCUUCUUAUUUACUAUUAUAUCUAAAAAAAAAAAAAAAGUAAAUCACUGUGGGACAUUGAUUUUAAAAGUGUAUCACUACAUCAUGAUCCAUUUUUUUUAAGUUGUAAAAGCUAUCUAACUAGCAAUGUCAGUAAAAGAACUCUAUUUCUCUGAGUACUUAUAUUUAGUGUGGUUAAAGGACACAGUAAAAUUGAAACUAAUUUGCUGUGAAUACUGGUGCACUAGACCAUGAGGCUGUGUUAGUAGAAAGCUUUAUGUGACACGCAGAUUACAGCCUAUUUUUUAUUGUCAGACUCAAUCCUUCAUUCAUACAAAUACAAAGUCAGAACCCUAAUUACUUCUGUUAGAAAUGCUGCAGCUUAUUAAGAAGGGGGCAUAAGUCUUUCGCUGUAAAUUCUUGAUCAUGGCAUUGCAAUUCCAAGCCAUUUGUAAAAUGUUCCAGCAUUUAAUUUACAGUCUGUUUCUCUCUUUAUGUGGGUUCUGAUUGCAAAAUCGUCAAUCAUUAUACAAUAUUAGCCAUGUGAUGAACCAUGUACUACUUGUUAGCUCUGGCUCCAAAAUAACCCCAUUAGUCCCUUCCUCAUCAUCUCCUGUUCCUUCUAAUUGCUUACAGGCACACUGAAAAAUUUUGCCUUUUGGUCAAUCAUCUUGCUCUUUUCUAACAAUGAAAAUUUCAGGCAGAUUCAGUAACGAUCCUUCUAGUAUUCAUCUAGUGCUACACGCUUCAUGGACAGGUUUUGAAACUCUUCAUUAUUAAGCAAAUGUUCUGCCCAUGCAUUGGGAGCUAUUUUUUUACCUCAGCUGGAAAUCCUGACGGCUGAAAGAUGUUUUAGCUACAAUGUGGCCUGUGCUAGAAGCCAUAUAAAUCCAUACGGUGAUGUGAUGCCAGUGGAGCACAGCCCAGAACAAACAUGUGAAAUCACCAUGUCUGAUAACAAAAGUUAGAGGAGGCUACCAGAGUAGCAGAGACCAGGGUCAUGCCGUAAGACAUGACGUAACUUAACAUUUUAAAAUGAGAUGUUUAUAAAACCCCACAGAGCGAUGUUUAGCACAUCCUUGGGCAAAUUAUGCUGCAGGGGAAACCUCAUAUCACCAGGUAGCUGUUAAGACAAUGCCCUUUAUGAAAACUUGCCCUAGAUUCAACAGCUCCAGGCUAUCAUCUCUUUUCCACCCAAAAACCACGAGUGCCGAGUGGAAAUGGUCAGUGGCUCACAGCUAGGCUGAUCUGGCAGGUGGAGUGAGAGAGAAGUGACAGCAAUUUUCUCAGGCAGGCUGCUACUGGUGAACACAUUUUUCACGUACAUAUUCCCCUGCACAGUGCUAGCAUAGCUUUCUUGGGAUGUUUUUAUGUCACUUUGCUUUUGUGUUUCUGAUGUCAGUGUGUGCAUUAUGCAUAGAAGUGUAUGCCCUGGCUGAUCCAGUGGGAAACUAUACAUAUUUAAUAGUAUAGACAGUAUAGACCUGGCAUGUAGGUAAAGAUUUUGACUAGGAUAGAUUUUGAAAGGUCUGCCUAAAAAAAGCCUCUGAAAGCCCCUGAGCCAUCAGUAAAUGAUACCCUAUGUUGUAAAUGGAUUGGGAGUACACUAGCCAAAUGCUGUAUUGGAAGCAGCUUUCCUGUAAAUAAAUUAACAUCCAGAUCUGUAUGUUUUUUCA